RNAcentral lists this ribosomal RNA (3023 nucleotides) under Ureaplasma miroungigenitalium. RNAcentral's name for it is "bacterial LSU rRNA". The stretch from base 1 to 1492 matches the Rfam family "Bacterial small subunit ribosomal RNA". Lineage: Bacteria; Bacillati; Mycoplasmatota; Mycoplasmoidales; Mycoplasmoidaceae. The record is from RNAcentral.
GGAUUAACGCUGGCGGCAUGCCUAAUACAUGCAAAUCGAACGAGGUUAGUUUACUAACCUAGUGGUGAACGGGUGAGUAACAAGUAUCCAAUCUGCCCUUAAGAUGGGAAUAACUGACCGAAAGGUUAGCUAAUGCCCAAUAAUAACAUUCUUAUCGCAUGAGAAAAUGUAGAAAGACGCCUUUAAAGCGUCGCUUUUGGAUGAGGRUGCUCCGUAUCAGAUAGUUGGUAGGGUAAAAGCCUACCAAGUCUAUGACGCGUAGCUGUACUGAGAGGUAGAACAGCCACAAUGGGACUGAGACACGGCCCAUACUCCUACGGGAGGCAGCAGUAGGGAAUUUUUCACAAUGGGCGCAAGCCUUAUGAAGCAAUGCCGCGUGAACGACGAAGGUCUUAUAGAUUGUAAAGUUCUUUUAUUUGGGAAGAAACGUUAUGAUAGGAAAUGAUUAUAACUUGACUGUACCUUUUGAAUAAGUAUCGGCUAACUAUGUGCCAGCAGCCGCGGUAAUACAUAGGAUGCAAGCGUUAUCCGGAUUUACUGGGCGUAAAACGAGCGCAGGCGGAUCUGCAAGUUUGGUAUUAAAUCUAUGUGCUCAACGCAUAGCUGUAUCAAAAACUGCAAAUCUAGAGUGUAGUAGAGAGUUGGGGAACUCCAUGUGGAGCGGUAAAAUGCGUAGAUAUAUGGAAGAACACCGGCGGCGAAGGCGCCAACUUAGACUAACACUGACGCUUAGGCUCGAAAGUGUGGGGAUCAAAUAGGAUUAGAUACCCUAGUAGUCCACACUGUAAACGAUCAUCAUUAAAUGUCGGCACGAACGUGUCGGUGUUGAAGCUAACGCAUUAAAUGAUGUGCCUGGGUAGUACAUUCGCAAGAAUGAAACUCAAACGGAAUUGACGGGGACCCGCACAAGUGGUGGAGCAUGUUGCUUAAUUUGACAAUACACGUAAAACCUUACCUAGGUUUGACAUCGAUUGCAAAGCUAUAGAAAUAUAGUAGAGGUUAACAAUCUGACAGGUGGUGCAUGGUUGUCGUCAGCUCGUGUCGUGAGAUGUUGGGUUAAGUCCCGCAACGAGCGCAACCCCUUUCGUUAGUUAUUUUUUAACGAUACUGCUACUGCAAAGUAGAGGAAGGUGGGGAUGACGUCAAAUCAUCAUGCCCCUUAUAUCUAGGGCUGCAAACGUGCUACAAUGGUUGAGACAAACUGCUGCAAAACUGUAAAGUCAAGCAAAUCAGACAAAAUCAAUCUCAGUUCGGAUAGAGGGCUGCAAUUCGCCCUCUUGAAGUUGGAAUCACUAGUAAUCGCGAAUCAGACAUGUCGCGGUGAAUACGUUCUCGGGUCUUGUACACACCGCCCGUCAAACUAUGGGAGCUGAUAAUAUCUGAAACCGUACUGUUAACCGCAAGGAGGCAUACGUCUAGGGUAGGAUUGGUGACUGGAGUUAAGUCGUAACAAGGUAUCCCUACGAGAACGUGGGGAUGGAUCACCUCCUUUCUUCGGAGUAAUUUAUUAAAUUACACAAUCAAGUGUACGAAAUCACAAAACAAAUCCAUAAUGAUUUGCCGCAAUUUAUUUUUUAUAAAUCGUUAUGGUCGGAUUCUAUUUAGUUUUGAGAGAUUAUUCUCUCCAUAUAUCGACUGAUAUAUGUGGUCGAUCUUUGAAAACUGAAUUAUUAUCAACAAUCUUUCUAAUGAUUAGAUACGCAAGUAUUUAAUCAACAGAAUUAUAUUAAUUWAAUUAAUAUAGUUAACAAUCAUAUUAAAGAUACAACUUUAAGGAUUUAUUAUAAGUUAUUAAGGGCUUAUGGUGAAUGCCUUGGGACAAACAGGCGAUGAAGGACGUGCAAAUCUGCGAUAAGCAACGGGUAGCUGAUAAGAAGCUGUGAUCCGUUGAUUUCCGAAUGAGUAAACUCAAUAUAAGUAAUUUUAUAUUAUUACAUUAUGAAUUCAUAGUAAUGUAAGGCAAUACCUCGUGAAGUGAAACAUCUCAGUAACGAGAGGAAAAGAGAACGAAUGUUAUUCCGGUAGUAGCGGCGAGCGAAUCCGGAUCAGGCCAAACCGAAUCUUGAUUCGGGGUUGUAGGACUGCAAUGUGGACUAAUUAUUGAUAGUGGAAUGAGUUGGGAAGCUCAAUCACAGAGGGUGAUAAUCCCGUACACGAAAUCAAUAAUUUACCUAGCAGUAUCCUGAGUAGGGCGGGACACGUGAAAUCCUGUCUGAAUCCACCCAGACCAUUGGGUAAGCCUAAAUACUAGUUUGUCACCGAUAGCGCAUAGUACCGUGAGGGAACGGUGAAAAGAACCCAGAGAUGGGAGUGAAAUAGAACCUGAAACCAUAAGCCUACAAGGUGUUAGAGCACAUUUAUGUGUGAUAGCGUGCCUUUUGAAGUAUGAGCCAGCGAGUUAUUGUUGCAUGCAAGGUUAAAUUGUAGAAAUGGAGCCGUAGGGAAACCGAGUCUUAAUAGGGCGUUYAGUAUGUGGCAAUAGACGCGAAACGGGGUGAUCUAUCCAUGGGCAGGUUGAAGGUGAAGUAACAUUCACUGGAGGACCGAACCCACUUUCGUUGAAACGACAGGGGAUGACCUGUGGAUAGCAGUGAAAUUCCAAUCGAACUCCGUGAUAGCUCGUUCUCGUCGAAAUAUUUUUAGGAAUAGCGUUGGAUAAUGCAAUUAUGGGGGUAAAGCACUGAAUCUAUGAUGGCGCCACCUCGGUGUACUGAAUAGAAUCAAACUCUGAAUACCGUAAUUGCUAUUCCAGCAGUCAGACAGUGGGGGAUAAGCUUCAUUGUCGCGAGGGAAACAGCCCAGACCAAUAUCUAAGGUCCCUAAUAUAUGCUAAGUGGAAAACGAUGUUGAAUUUCUUAAACAGCAAGGAUGUUGGCUUAGAAGCAGCCACCGUUUAAAGAGUGCGUAACAGCUCACUUGUUUAGAGAUUCUGCGCGGAAGAUGUAACGGGGCUAAGCAUAUAACCGAAGAUUUGGGUUAUCAAUUUAUUGAUAGCGGUAGACGAGUGUUGUAUAAAGGACGAA